GGCCGAGAUCAAAGUCUCUUUCUGUUCAAUACGCCCUUGCCAUUGUUUUAAUUAAUAAGCUUUUUUUUUUUUUUUUGAUUACAUGAGACUAUUGCUCAGAUUACAACUCAUAUACAUGAGACUAUUACUGAUAUUUACAAAUCAGACUAUUACUGUGACCAACUGACAUCAAUGCUAAUGGAGCUCUGCCCAGAUUUUAACCCUCACAAAUAUUCGAGGGAUGUCUACUCCUCACUCAUGGGUAAGGAAGAAGACUACCUUCACUCAAAUUAAUUGAGGA
Molecule: long non-coding RNA, 280 nt
Filed under: Citrus maxima (pomelo)
Lineage: Eukaryota; Viridiplantae; Streptophyta; Magnoliopsida; Sapindales; Rutaceae
Description: long non-coding RNA (CMAX_LNC000027)
Source: RNAcentral